UACAGAGGUCCCAAGCGUUGUUCGGAUUCACUGGGUUUAAAGGGUGCGUAGGCGGGUUGGUAAGUCCGUGGUGAAAUCCCCAAGCUUAACUUGGGAACUGCCGUGGAUACUAUCAAUCUUGAAUAUCGUGGAGGUAAGCGGAAUAUGUCAUGUAGCGGUGAAAUGCUUAGAUAUGACAUAGAACACCAAUUGCGUAGGCAGCUUACUACACGAUCAUUGACGCUGAGGCACGAAAGCGUGGGGAGCAAACAGG
This 253-nucleotide ribosomal RNA is filed under the name uncultured bacterium. RNAcentral describes it as "partial 16S ribosomal RNA". It matches the Rfam family "Bacterial small subunit ribosomal RNA", at positions 524 to 776 of the family's 1533-position model. The record is from RNAcentral.